RNAcentral lists this ribosomal RNA (443 nucleotides) under uncultured bacterium. RNAcentral's name for it is "partial 16S ribosomal RNA". It matches the Rfam family "Bacterial small subunit ribosomal RNA", at positions 338 to 795 of the family's 1533-position model. The record is from RNAcentral.
CCUACGGGGGGCUGCAGUGGGGAAUAUUGGGCAAUGGAGGAAACUCUGACCCAGCAACGCCGCGUGAAUGAUGAAGGUCUUCGGAUUGUAAAGUUCUUUUCUAAGGGACGAAGAAAGUGACUAUACCUUAGGAAUGAGCCUCGGCUAACUACGUGCCAGCAGCCGCGGUAAUACGUAGGAGGCGGGCUUUAUCCGGAAUGACUGGGCGUAAAGGGUGCGGAGGUGGUUUGGCAAGUUAGUAGCGUAGCUCCAAGGCUCACCCUUGGAACGACUACUAAAACUGUUGGCUUUGAGGGCAGGAGGGGAAACCGGAAUUCUGGGUGAAGCGGUGGAAGGCGAAGAAAGUAGGAGGAACACCAGUGGGGAAGGCGGGUUGCUAGCCUGUAACGGACACUGAGGAACGAAAGCGUGGGGAGCAAACAGGAUUAGAUACCCGAGUAGUC